This 558-nucleotide long non-coding RNA is filed under the name Brassica napus (rape). RNAcentral's name for it is "long non-coding RNA (BNAP_LNC010275)". The record is from RNAcentral. Lineage: Eukaryota; Viridiplantae; Streptophyta; Magnoliopsida; Brassicales; Brassicaceae.
AGUGUUUGAUGUUUUGUACAAGUCGGUGAAUUUUUUAAUAUUACAUCUUUAACGUGGAAAAAAGUUUCAAAACAAAAAGAAAACAAAUCGUUAUGUAUCCCGAGGGAAAUAGAUAAAGGAUAUAACAUUUAAAUUAACCCCACAUUUUAUGACCUAUCAAAAUAACACAUAGAUUAUUAAUUAAAAAAUAUUAAAUUAAAUAAAAAAUAGUUACAAAAAAUAAAAACGCUACGCUAACACUUCAAGCUAAAUCUUAAAUUAUAAACCCUAUACCCUAAAUUCUAAACUCAAAUCCAAACCCCUAAACCUAAACUCUAUAUCCUAAACCCUAAUCCUAGACCCUAAACCCAAAUUAUAUACCCUGAACCCAAAAACUAGACUAUAAACCUAAACUCUAUAUCCUAAACCCAAGUCCUAGACCAUAAACACAAACCAUUAACCUUGAACCCAAAUUAUAUAUCAUAAACCCAAAACAUUAACUAUAAGUCCAAACGGUAAAUCCUAAACCCAAACCGUAAAUCCUAAAUCCAAAACAUAUACCCUAAACCCAAAUCCUAA